This is a long non-coding RNA of Triticum aestivum (bread wheat), 899 nucleotides long. RefSeq lists it as uncharacterized. The transcript has 3 exons. The record is from RefSeq and is a predicted model, not a curated record. NCBI's taxonomy places the organism in Eukaryota, Viridiplantae, Streptophyta, Magnoliopsida, Poales, Poaceae.
AUCAAAAUUACAUUAGUUUUUAGGGCAAUAUCUCACACCUCGAUCUUUUUGUACAUCGAAUCGCAAGGACGACGCGGCCCUCGGAGCCCUUCGCCACCGCCGGUGUCCGAGAGGACCUGCCGCCGUCUUCCCCACCAAGAUCUCCACCCUCUCCCCCGCCAGCGUCAUCCACUCACGUUCUUUCCUUAAAGCGGGGAGGCCCCAGAUCGAGUUGAGCAAGUCAGGGGCCGCCGCCGACGCGGAUCCCCACGAACGAGCCAGCCAUCGCCGCUGCGGUUCCCCACGAACGAGCCAGCCAUCGCCGCCUCGGAUCCCCACGGACGCCGCCGCGGAUCACCACCGUAGCCCUCUCCUUCUCCCCCUCCGUCCUUUGGGGAGAAGAGCUUCUGCGGUAGGUCGUUGUCGGCGGCGGUAUCACACCUCUCACUCGUCUUCUAUCAGAUUGUGCCAGACCAACCAUCAAGUUAUUUUCACCUGGCAACAUGUGCUCGUGAUGCCAUUUGAAUUUUCGAGCAAGUCUCGGUCUUUCCUGGUCCGGCUAUCCAGGCGACAAAUGCCAACUUGGUAGCAGUUAUCGAGCAUGGCUAAGAAGAAGUGGGUAGGGGUUGGUGCGACUAAGGCCCCGUUCGUAAUCUCUCUGCUCCUCCACUCCGCGGAGUUGGUGGAGCUCGGUCUUCGCAGCUCCAUUAAAGUGAGGUCCGCUCCGGGAGCAGAGUUAAGAGAGCGGAGAGGAACCGAACGCUUCCUAACUGUACUUGCUUCCUAGAGAACAACUAUCACAAAUCACAUGCAAGUUCAGUCGUCGUGAGCUAUAGUAUUCGACAAAAAUGUACAUGGCAUUGAGCUAUAAUAUUUAUUUCGUUUUCAUUCUUAUAAUAUAAAGUUCAGUGUUACUUCCA